Long non-coding RNA from Neotoma lepida (desert woodrat), 93 nucleotides. It matches the Rfam family "Six3os1 conserved region 1". Lineage: Eukaryota; Metazoa; Chordata; Mammalia; Rodentia; Cricetidae. The record is from Rfam.
UCCUUGACUUCCUGUACAUAGGUGCUUGUGUGUCUGUCUGGGGUCACUCCAUGAGGGCACUGUAGCUUUUGUCUGCACCUGACCAACUGGGUG